AUGCGCUCAGUCUUUGUUCUGGAGACAUGCGAGAAAAAUUGCUCUUGGUACUAUGGCGUUCCUAACAUCUUAGGGAUGACAUUGUGCAUAACAAAGGGCACUGGUCCAGACCCCAAGGCGAAGCUAAAUGUUGAUGCCUCCUUUGUAUCUGCUUUGGGAUCAGCUUGGGCAGGGGCAGUCGCCAGGGAUAGCACCGGCUCAGUUGUUUCCUUUGUAGGCCGUCACUUUCAUAUGUGUACUGAUGCAGAGGAAGUUGAAGCAAACGCUCUGCGUUUGGGACUCAAGUGUUUGCGGGAUAUAAACAAGGUUCAGGUACGAGUGGAAUCAGACUGUGCUGUUGUUGUUGCGGUUGUGAGUGCAGAAGAAAGAAACAAUACUAAGUGGUGGGCUACUUAUGAAGAAGCAAAGACUAUAAUGCGGGAGUUCAGUUCGUGCAUGAUGAGUAAAAUUGGAAGAGAGUGCAACGUGGCCCCACAUGAGAUAGCAGCUCAUGCUAGAGCUCAUGGAGAUUUUUAUAUAGUGCAGAAUGUCUUUCAUCCUUCCUCCCCUCACCCCUCCCAUUCUCUCCGGGAGCGCCGCCGCUUCCUCAUCCCCCAGACUCUCGCCUCUCGGCUCGGGAGGCGGAAGCGAAACCCCAAGGUGAGCCGGACCUCCGCUCUCCCCUUCCCCCCCAGCCCUCCUCGCUUCUCCGGUUGCUUGGCCUGCGCGUCGCUUCUCCGGCUGCUUAGCCUGCGCGUCGCUUCUCCGAAGUCCGUACUAAGCCGCUACCUAGUCGAUGGAUUGAUUGAUUUCCCCAGUUCAAGUCCCCUCGCUAGCCGGAUGCGCUCCAGUUCCCUUCGCUGGAUUCGUCGUCGUUCGUCUGUACUUUUACCUGUCCCCAAGCGCUUUAGAUCUGCUGUUUUGUUCGUCAUGCUUGCUUGUUCCGGGGACCGAUUUCGUUCUGACGCGAGUAGAUGCACCGACUGGUUUAUGUGCGGCCCCUAA
This 984-nucleotide ribosomal RNA is filed under the name Triticum aestivum (bread wheat). RNAcentral describes it as "partial small subunit ribosomal RNA". Lineage: Eukaryota; Viridiplantae; Streptophyta; Magnoliopsida; Poales; Poaceae. The record is from RNAcentral.